UACAGAGGGGGCAAGCGUUGUUCGGAAUUACUGGGCGUAAAGGGCGCGUAGGCGGUCUUGUCAGUCAGGCGUGAAAGCCCUGGGCUCAACCUGGGAUGUGCGUUUGAUACUGCAAGGCUUGAGUGCAGGAGAGGAUGGUGGAAUUCCCAGUGUAGAGGUGAAAUUCGUAGAUAUUGGGAAGAACACCGGUGGCGAAGGCGGCCAUCUGGACUGCAACUGACGCUGAGGCGCGAAAGCGUGGGGAGCAAACAGG
This 253-nucleotide ribosomal RNA is filed under the name uncultured bacterium. RNAcentral describes it as "partial 16S ribosomal RNA". It matches the Rfam family "Bacterial small subunit ribosomal RNA", at positions 524 to 776 of the family's 1533-position model. The record is from RNAcentral.